CAUCCUACGGGGCGCAGCAGUGGGGAAUAUUGCACAAUGGGGGAAACCCUGAUGCAGCGACGCCGCGUGAGCGAUGAAGUAUUUCGGUAUGUAAAGCUCUAUCAGCAGGGAAGAAAAUGACGGUACCUGACUAAGAAGCCCCGGCUAACUACGUGCCAGCAGCCGCGGUAAUACGUAGGGGGCAAGCGUUAUCCGGAUUUAUUGGGUUUAAAGGGUGCGCAGGCGGCCUGUUAAGUCAGCGGUAAAAGCCCGGGGCUCAACCCCGGCGAGCCGUUGAAACUGGCGGGCUGGAGUUGGAGAGAAGG
This 305-nucleotide ribosomal RNA is filed under the name uncultured bacterium. RNAcentral's name for it is "bacterial SSU rRNA". It matches the Rfam family "Bacterial small subunit ribosomal RNA", at positions 335 to 658 of the family's 1533-position model. The record is from RNAcentral.